RNAcentral lists this ribosomal RNA (327 nucleotides) under uncultured eukaryote. RNAcentral describes it as "partial 18S ribosomal RNA". It matches the Rfam family "Eukaryotic small subunit ribosomal RNA", at positions 1470 to 1796 of the family's 1831-position model. The record is from RNAcentral.
CCCUUAGAUGUUCUGGGCCGCACGCGCGCUACACUGACGAAUGCAACGAGCUUAUAACCUUGGCCGAAAGGUCUGGGUAAUCUCCAAAUUUCGUCGUGAUGGGGAUAGAUUAUUGCAAUUAUUAAUCUUCAACGAGGAAUGCCUAGUAAGCGCAAGUCAUCCGCUUGCGUUGAUUACGUCCCCGCCCUUUGUACACACCGCCCGUCGCUCCUACCGAUUGAAUGGUCCGGUGAAGCGCUCGGACCGCGGCCUCUUGACGGUUUUCCGUCGAUUGGCUGUGGGAAGUUCGUUAAACCUUAUCAUUUAGAGGAAGGAGAAGUCGUAACA